GGAUGAAUGGAAAGAUGGACAUAUAGAUAGAUUCAUAUAGGCCUAUUGGAUGAAUGGAUGGAUGGAUGGAUGGACAAGUGCAUGGAUGGAGAAAUGGAUGGAUUAGUGGAUGGGUGGAUGAAUGGAGGGAUGGGGGAUAAAUGAUGGAUGAAUGGAAAGAUGGACAGAUAGAUGGAUGAACAUAAUUGGGUGGAGGGAUGGAUGGAUAGAUGAUUGGAUUAACGGAUGGAUGGAUGGAUUCUGAGGUAAGUAGAGAGAGAGACCCCCAAAAAAACAGCCCACGCGACCUUGUCAACUCCAAUCACAGAGGAGAGAGAGAGAGAGAGAGAGAGAGAGAGAGAGAGAGAGAGAGAUGGGGGCGCAAUCUAGCGGCAGCAGCAGAGUGUCAGAGCGCGCGAGUGACCGAGACGCUGUGCGCUCUCUCUCUCGCUCUCUCUCUCUCUCUCUCUCUCUCGCGCCCGCGCUCUUCUCUCCUCCGCUCUCCGGUCCUCUCUGUGUCUCGUGCGCUCUCUCAUUGGAUCUCCUGCGUCUCGCGCUCACUGUUUCUGAGGCGCUGCUCCCAAAACCGACCAAACGACCAGCGGAUAUUUGGCCUUUUCCCUUCUACAACAAAAACAACAACAACAACAGGAGCGACAACAUCCCAGUCCGGCGGCGCAGCAGGAUACAGCAGCGCUCACGCGGAAAGGGGAGGUCGGGGGCCGCCGUUAUUAACGGAGGAAGCCGCCGAGCAGACAGAAGCUAAGGAACGACGGGCUCCUGCUGCACAGAACAGAUUUCAGCCUCAGCACGUAAAGGCAUAUCGUCUCCUAGAGGAAAGACAAUACUUCCCUCUCCUACAGCAGCACAGCCUACAGAGGAGCCUACAAACAUGGCCACGGACUACAACUCCCAGAACUGAGAGAGGCCUACAAACAUGGCCGCAGAUGACUACAACAUCCGACAGCCAUCACAAACUCUGUCACGAUCACAAUCACCAUCGUACUGAUUACACACACCUGGACUCACUUACACUGUCA
Long non-coding RNA from Ictalurus punctatus (channel catfish), 1019 nucleotides. Lineage: Eukaryota; Metazoa; Chordata; Actinopteri; Siluriformes; Ictaluridae. The record is from Ensembl.